AUCCCAUGGUGUGGACAUUGCCUUAAUAAUUCCUUGUAUCUUUCACAAGCAUCAAACAAAGAAUCACCAUCUCUUUGCCUAAAUGAAGUGAUCUCAUUCCUCAUCUU
Lathyrus oleraceus (garden pea) is the source of this 107-nucleotide small nucleolar RNA. The record is from RefSeq and is a predicted model, not a curated record. Lineage: Eukaryota; Viridiplantae; Streptophyta; Magnoliopsida; Fabales; Fabaceae.